Ictidomys tridecemlineatus (thirteen-lined ground squirrel) is the source of this 73-nucleotide non-coding RNA. Lineage: Eukaryota; Metazoa; Chordata; Mammalia; Rodentia; Sciuridae. The record is from Rfam.
GGGGAUAUGGCUCAGUUGGAAGAGUUUGUGCCUCACAUGCACAAGGCCCUGGGUUCAAUCCCCAGCACUGCCC